This 301-nucleotide ribosomal RNA is filed under the name uncultured bacterium. RNAcentral describes it as "partial 16S ribosomal RNA". It matches the Rfam family "Bacterial small subunit ribosomal RNA", at positions 509 to 807 of the family's 1533-position model. The record is from RNAcentral.
CAGCCGCCGCGGUAAUACGUAGGUGGCAAGCGUUGUCCGGAAUUAUUGGGCGUAAAGGGCUCGCAGGCGGUUUCUUAAGUCUGAUGUGAAAGCCCCCGGCUCAACCGGGGAGGGUCAUUGGGAACUGGGAAACUUGAGUGCAGAAGAGGAGAGUGGAAUUCCACGUGUAGCGGUGAAAUGCGUAGAGAUGUGGAGGAACACCAGUGGCGAAGGCGACUCUCUGGUCUGUAACUGACGCUGAGGAGCGAAAGCGUGGGGAGCGAACAGGAUUAGAUACCCGCGUAGUCCCUGUCUCUUAUAC